UAAGAUUGAAGUGUAUUUACAUGGGUUUGA
Molecule: non-coding RNA, 30 nt
Filed under: Mus musculus (house mouse)
Lineage: Eukaryota; Metazoa; Chordata; Mammalia; Rodentia; Muridae
Source: RNAcentral